UACGUAGGACGCAAGCGUUAUCCGGAUUUACUGGGCGUAAAGAGCGCGUAGGCUGUUUCGUAAGUUGGGCGUGAAAGCCCCCGGCUUAACUGGGGAGGGUCGUUCAAUACUGCGGAACUUGAGGGUGGAUGAGGAGACUGGAAUUCCCGGUGUAGUGGUGAAAUGCGUAGAUAUCGGGAGGAACACCAGUGGCGAAGGCGGCCUCCUGGACGGAUACUGACGCUGAGGCGCGAAAGCGUGGGGAUCAAAC
This 250-nucleotide ribosomal RNA is filed under the name uncultured bacterium. RNAcentral describes it as "partial 16S ribosomal RNA". It matches the Rfam family "Bacterial small subunit ribosomal RNA", at positions 524 to 773 of the family's 1533-position model. The record is from RNAcentral.